Molecule: long non-coding RNA, 4624 nt
Filed under: Bos grunniens (domestic yak)
Lineage: Eukaryota; Metazoa; Chordata; Mammalia; Artiodactyla; Bovidae
Description: lncRNA (ENSBGRG00000009392.1)
Source: RNAcentral
UUGAAUAAAUUGAUAAGAGAUUUGCUGCUUCUCAUCUCCAGUGGAGAUAGACGAUUUGGUGACAUUCUCUGGUGGGCUACAGGAGGUGGGGGGAACAUCGUGAGGAAGAGAUCCCUUAGAUGUCCUUUCCACCUUUUUGUUGAGUUCUGGUAGAGAAAAAACACUGGUUAGGCAAGGUGGCCCAUCACCACCUUGUGGGUUUGUCCUUCUAAGGCUCCCUUGAACUUAACCUCUGCUUGGCGGAGACCCGAGGAUCUCCUGGUCGACGCCCAGAAGAUGCUCUGUGUUGAACCCGACCUUCCCACGGCCCAAACAGGCAAACAAAUGGCGUCCCUUGGAAAGAAUCAGUGUAGCCUGGCUAGAAGCCUGGCUGGAAGCUCGGCAGCGGGCUAGGAGUAGGGAGUACGACGGGGAUAAGUCUAGCGGCUGCACCCAAGAAAAUAGGGGUGUCCACUGCACCUGCAAACCCCACGCGCGCCUCGGCUUGGCCCCCUGCACCCCAGCCGGCUGCCCACCCUGGAGAGGCUGCCUGGGGGGCAGCAGUGUGUGUGUGUGUGUGUGUGUGUGUGUGUGUGUGUGCGUGUGUGUGUGUGUGUGUGUGUGUGUGUGUGGAGGUGGGGGGGGGGUGUCGGCGGCCGCUACAAGGAGGCGGCGAGGAGGCUGGGGAGGGGGGCGCGGCGGGCGGUGGCGCGGUCCAGGGGGAGGCGGGCGGAGGGAAGGCGCUGCCGCCGCCGCCUCACCCGCGGCGACACAGACGCCGGGAGCGGCCGAGGCGAGUGACUUCUUCUGACUUGAGCUUGCAGUGUGCUUUGAGAGAUCCUCUACCAGGUAAAUGCAGUACAAAUUUCCUCUGGUUUAUAAACCAAGACUUUCUCCCAAGAUUUCCUGAGAUCAAAAUCCAACAUCUUAUUUAAUCCCUGCAACAGCCCUUAAGUUAGGUUUAUUUUCAUGUUAUACAGGAGGAAAUUGAAACAUAGAGAAGUUAGACAGCUUGCACAGAGAAGUUAGAUCAACAUGCACAAAGGCGUUCAUCACACCAUAAACUAUACUUGCCAGAUAAAGCAAAACAAGAGGAGAGAGCUGAAAUAUCCAACAGCAGGCAAACUGUUAAAUCAUUUGAUGAAGUUACUUUAAUAAUAGUCUACAUGAGAUUAAGAAGUUUUUUUCCUAUUCCUCAUUUGCUAAAAGCAAAUUAAUUAUUUUGGGUAUUGAAUUUUAUUGAAAGCUUUUCUAAUCUACUAAGCUGUUAAAAUGAUUUUUAUUCUUUAUCUGUUCAUGGUAAUUUCUAUUAAUUGAUUUUCUAAUAUUAUAUACCUUGCAUUGCUAAGAUAAAACCAACUUGGUCAUGAUGCAUUUUCCUUUCUAUCUUUAGCUAAGAUUUAGUUUUAGUCUUGAGAUUGGAUACAGUUUUCCUUUCUGGUAUUUUCCGUGCCAGGAAUGGUUUUCAAAAUAUUGGAAUUACUUGAAUGUUUAAUGAUAAAGGAGUAAAACAUUUGAGUCCUGUUGUUUUCUUUGAAAGGAGAAUUUUUACCUGCUCAUUUAGUUUCUGAUUUAUUUACAUUUUCUGAUUUCUUCUUGAGUCAGUUUUGACAAAUUUUGUUUUUGGUUAUAUGUUCAUUUUCUGUUGGAUAUAUAUGCAGCAAGGGAAUGUCUGGAUCAGGGGGGUAAGUAUACAUUCAGUUUUAGCAGAUAAUAUCAGUUUUUCUAAAUGCUUGUAUUGAUUUAAAAUGUACAUGCUAAGCGGGAGUAUAUGAGAGUUCCGAUUGCUCUGUAUCCUUUUCAGCACAAGGUAUUUCUGUUUUGGUUGAUUAUUUAGUCUGUGCUAGUGGGUGUGAAGUAUUACAGUGACAUUGUAGUUCUGUAUUUGCUUGUAGGUUAAUGAAGUUGGGUACUCUUUCAUAUGUUAAUUGACUAUUUGAAUAUCUUGUUUUGUCAAAAGCCCUUUCUAGUCUUAAAAAAAGGGGGGAAAUGCUUAUUCAGGUCUUCUGAAACAAAAAAUUGGGUUGCUUUGUUGAAUUGUCUUGUAGAAUUACAGAUAUUUUUAAUAAUAAGUGUUAUGGAUUUGAGGUCUUGUUAGAAUAUAUAUGUUGUAAAUACCUACUUUUGUUUCCUGUGGUUUACCCUUUCACUCUUUUUGUGGACAGAAAUUCCUUUAAAAUAGUGUAAAUUAUCCAUUUUUUUUCCUUUUGUGGUCGGCACUAUUGUACUUAUUUAAGAAAUCUUGGCCUUAUUCUAAGAUCACAAAGAAGUUGUACGUUUUCAUCUGAAAGUUAUAUUAUUUUUCUUUUACAUUUGAGCCACAAUACAUCUGGAAUUGGUUUUAUUGUGUACGACGGGAGGUAGAGGGUCAAGAUUGAUUUUUUCCAUGUGGACAUGCACUUGAUCAGGAGCCAUCCUUUGGUCAUAGCUCUGUUUAUCUACCUGUUUAUUUCGGUUAGGCUCACUAAGGUACAAUGAACACAGUAAAAUUCAUUCUCUUGAAAUUGAUGGUUUGAUAAGCUUGAACAGUUCUAUAGCCACCACCACAAUCAAGAUGCAGAACAUACCCAACCUCUGAGAGAAUGCUCCUUCGUAGUAACAAUCACUCAUCUGAUUUCUGUCCCUAGAUUUUUUUCCUUUUUCAGAAUAUAUAAAUGAAGCCAUAGAGUAUGUAGACUUUUGUUUCAGAUUUCUUUUUUAAAAAUCUCAAAGAAUCUCAAAAAUUCAUCCCUGUGUUGCAGUACCAGUUGUUUGGUUUUUUUUAGAGUAGAAUUCCAUUGUGUAGAUUAUCCAUUUUUUUCCUUUUGUGGUCGCACUAUUGUACUUAUUUAAGAAAUCUUGGCCUUAUUCUAAGAUCACAAAGAAGUUGUACGUUUUCAUCUGAAAGUUAUAUUAUUUUUCUUUUACAUUUGAGCCACAAUACAUCUGGAAUUGGUUUUAUUGUGUACGACGGGAGGUAGAGGGUCAAGAUUGAUUUUUUCCAUGUGGACAUGCACUUGAUCAGGAGCCAUCCUUUGGUCAUAGCUCUGUUUAUCUACCUGUUUAUUUCGGUUAGGCUCACUAAGGUACAAUGAACACAGUAAAAUUCAUUCUCUUGAAAUUGAUGGUUUGAUAAGCUUGAACAGUUCUAUAGCCACCACCACAAUCAAGAUGCAGAACAUACCCAACCUCUGAGAGAAUGCUCCUUCGUAGUAACAAUCACUCAUCUGAUUUCUGUCCCUAGAUUUUUUUCUUUUUUCAGAAUAUAUAAAUGAAGCCAUAGAGUAUGUAGACUUUUGUUUCAGAUUUCUUUUUUAAAAAUCUCAAAGAAUCUCAAAAAUUCAUCCCUGUGUUGCAGUACCAGUUGUUUGGUUUUUUUUUUAGAGUAGAAUUCCAUUGUGUAGAUGGAACACAAUUUAUUUAUCCAUUCACCAAUUGAUGAACAUUUAGAUUAUUUAUAGUUUUUGGCUCUUAUGAAUAAAGUUAUUAUAAUUGCUCACUUUGUAAAUCUUUGUAUGGAUAUAUGUUUUAAUUUCUCUUGGGUAAAUUACUAGGAGUAGGUUUACUGAGUCAUAUACUGUGUAGCAAGUAUAUAUUUAACAUUAUACAAAAAAAUCCCUCUAGCUGUUCCCAAAGUGAUUGUGCCAUUUUGCAUUCCAUUCAGCAGUGUAUGAUAUUUUAGUUGCCCCAUGGUCUUUCUCCAGAUGGCGCUAGUGAUAAAAAAUUAUUCACAUUUGAAUCAGUUCUAAUGAGAUGGAUGAAACUGGAACCUAUUAUACAGAGUGAAGUAAGCCAGAAAGAAAAACACCAAUACAGUAUACUAACGCAUAUAUGUGGAAUUUAGAAAGAUGGUAACAAUAACCCUGUGUACGAGACAGCAAAAGAGACACCGAUGUAUAGAUCAGUCUUAUGGACUCUGUGGGAGAGGGAGAGGCGGGAGAUUUGGGAGAAUAGCAUUGAAACAUGUAUAAUAUCAUGUAUGAAACGAGUCGCCAGUCCAGGUUCAAUGCACGGUACUGGAUGCUUGGGGCUGGUGCACUGGGACGACCCAGAGGGAGGGUAGGGGAGGGAGGAGGGAGGAGGGUUCAGGAUGGGGAACGCGGGUAUACCUGUGGUGGAUUCAUUUUGAUGUUUGGUAAAACUAAUACAAUAUUGUAAAGUUUGAAAAUAAAAUAAAAUUAAAAAAAAAAAAGCUAAAAAAAAAAAAAGAAUUAUUCAGGAGAUACAAGAAACUUGUGUUUGAUCCCUGGAUUGGGAAGAUCCUCUGGAGGAGUACAUGGCAACCCACUUCAGCAUUCUUGCCUGGAGAAUCCCAUGGACAGAGGAGCCUGGUGGGCUACAGUCCAUAGAGUUGCAAACAGUCAAACACGACUGAGUGACUUAGUACACACACAAUCUCUCCAGAACGUGGUAUAAUCAGUCUCCGUAAUUUGGGCAAUAUGAGUUAGUAUGUAGUUUUAUCUCAUAACUCUAGUUCUUGUUUCCCUAAUCAUUAAUGAUGUUGAAAAUUUUUUCAUGUGCUUCUUUGCCAUCUGCCUGUCUUCUUUAGUGGAGUGUCUAUUCAAAUCAGUCACCCAUUUUAAAAAUAAAGUCAUCUAUCUUUUCAUUUUUGAGCUACAAUAAAAUAUUAUUCCAGAUACAAAGGGAAGGGAAGUCGCUCAGUCGU